This is a long non-coding RNA of Myotis davidii, 777 nucleotides long. RefSeq lists it as uncharacterized. The record is from RefSeq and is a predicted model, not a curated record. The transcript is spliced from 4 exons. Lineage: Eukaryota; Metazoa; Chordata; Mammalia; Chiroptera; Vespertilionidae.
CCCGUGGCAAAGAGGGGAGGGCUCGCAUCCAGCUGUAGGCCUCUCAUUCAAGGUUCUUGCUGCAGCCAGCAGUGUCCUUGGAGUCUAGUUCAAAGCUGGAGAGAGUGAACCAGGGAGCCAGGAGCCAUUGGUGGAGGGGCUGGCCCGAAGGAAGUGAAGUAUUUCAGCCAGAAUGUAUUGACGCACGACCAGGAAACCACAAGACUGGUGAAAACCUUUCCAAGCCUGAGCCCGAUGAUCAAAAGAGGUGCAGGAAGCAGCUCUGCCAAGAGUCCUUUCUGCUGCCGGCUGGAGCCCUGAGCCUCUGAUGCUUUCUGAGUCAACUCCCUGAGCAGAUGCUAUCGCCCAAGGAGCCAUUGCCCCAGCAUUUUCUUACUUUGCUCUGACGUGGCCCCACAGAUAUGUCAUCAGCGUAACAGUUCAAAAGGAACGAUGCCUCCAUGACACUUGUUCCCUUACUAUACUCUUCAUGUGACCUGUGUGUCAGCUCUAUAGGACUUCCAGCAGCUUCAAGUUGGCUUCUCAUCAAGAUGAUUCAGAAAAUGCUGCUGAGCUGUGGUGCACAAACAAGGACAUGAGUUCCGCCAUGUCCAAAAGAAUGAUGGUGCGAAUCCUAGUUACAGGUUAUAUCAGCAAUUAAAGUGUGCACAUCAUGGGAAACAUCAUGAAAUGCCAACACUGCGCCAAUAUAGCCUCUGGAAGCUUUACCGACAGACCCUUCCCCGCGCCGACUCAAUGGACCUCUCUCCAACUGCUCUCUCUGAUGAAAGCCAGACA